GGGGACGUAGCCCAACGGCAGAGGCACACGGCUUAGAACCGUGACAGUGUGGGUUCGAAUCCCACCGUCCCCA
RNAcentral lists this transfer RNA (73 nucleotides) under Acanthopleuribacter pedis. It matches the Rfam family "tRNA". From Rfam's summary of the family: Transfer RNA (tRNA) molecules are approximately 80 nucleotides in length. The record is from Rfam by way of RNAcentral. Lineage: Bacteria; Pseudomonadati; Acidobacteriota; Holophagae; Acanthopleuribacterales; Acanthopleuribacteraceae.